AGCUCGGUAGCUCAAUUGGCUAGAGCGUCCGUCUCCAAAGCGGAUGGUUGCAGGUUCGAGUCCUGUCCGGGUUGC
RNAcentral lists this transfer RNA (75 nucleotides) under Mycobacteroides abscessus subsp. abscessus. RNAcentral's name for it is "tRNA-Trp(cca)". It matches the Rfam family "tRNA". Rfam says of the family: Transfer RNA (tRNA) molecules are approximately 80 nucleotides in length. Their secondary structure includes four short double-helical elements and three loops (D, anti-codon, and T loops). Lineage: Bacteria; Bacillati; Actinomycetota; Actinomycetes; Mycobacteriales; Mycobacteriaceae. The record is from RNAcentral.